AGAAUCAACGCUGGCGGCGUGCCUCAGACAUGCAAGUCGAACGCGAAAGUUUCCUUCGGGAAACAAGUAGAGUGGCGCACGGGUGAGUAACACGUAGGUAAUCUACCUUUGGAUGGGGAAUAACAAUCGGAAACGGUUGCUAAUACCGCAUAAUGCAGCGGCACCUAAUGGUGACAGUUGUUAAAGCGGGGGAUCGAAAGACCUCGCGUCUGAAGAGGAGCCUGUGGCGGAUUAGCUAGUUGGUAAGGUAAUGGCUUACCAAGGCUACGAUCC
Molecule: ribosomal RNA, 273 nt
Filed under: uncultured bacterium
Lineage: Bacteria
Description: partial small subunit ribosomal RNA
Rfam family: Bacterial small subunit ribosomal RNA
Source: RNAcentral